GGCCAUGGAACAACUGGCAAGAUUUAGAUCCAAAAUCCCAGAAAUGUUCCCCCCUAAAUUUAAUUAAUGAUCUUUACCACUUCUCAGCACAGUGGACACUCACCAAAUAAGAGAAUGGGACUACAAGGACUUGAGGUGCACUUAAUUACAAGAAAAAUGUCAGAGUCAGCUCUGUGUUUGUCUCGGGGUUGUCAGAAUACACCUGAAAUGUUGUUCAUUUGAAUGGAUUGCUGGGAACACAAGUGCCAGUCAGCAGCUAGAUAAGGGGAACCUUCUUCAUAGACCCUUGGGUGGUCCCUGGCCUUUAUAUAAAAAUCCCUAACCAUGUUCUGGAAAUUCCUAUGAAUUCACUACCUGGCUUAGAAAAUGCGUUUUUUCUGGAAACGAUCGACUAACCUGAGCAACGAGUGUGCAGAAAGACGUGGAAAAAAGCUGCACGAGGAGCCCUAUGAUGAGCAAUGAGCCUGCUAUUCCCCGAUUCUUUUGGCUGCCCCUACCCUGAUUGUACUGGUCCUGGAUGUGCUACAUACUGGUCGUGAGUGCAAUAUUAUAAAGUGAGCUUUGGAAACACUUUUCGAAUGUGAAUCAAGAGAUGUAGUUGGGAACAAGCUAUUCGGGCCCCUUAAUUAUCAAGUGUAGAAAAUUGCUCUGUUUACAUUGUGUAUAAUUAUAUAUCAGUGUUUAUGCCUCCCCUCUAACUAUGUACAUGUACAUCCUCUCCCCCUCUUACUCUAUGGACCUUCACUUUAUUCUCUGACUCAAUCCAGCAAGCCACUUAAGGAGAGGUAAGUAUAAAAUACACAGGUGCCAUGGUGGCUAUUUUGAGACGUGCAGAUCACAUAGUCCUGCAUACUAUGUCAGAGGAUGUUGGCCACGCGUCAUCUUCGUAUUGACAUUCCUAAGGUCUCUGCUCACGUUACCAUACAUAUUGAAUAACAGUAAAAAAGUUAUGGCUAACUCUUGCUUUGCUGAGCUCAUAACACCUGACCUCACGUUACCAUAGAUAUUGAAUAACAGUAAAAAAGUUAUGGCUAACUCUUGCUUUGCUGAGCUCAUAACACCUGACUAGCUGUGUCUGUUGCCUGGUUACCAAGAUUUGCUAGACUAUUAGUAGGGUAGAGUAUAAUUCAGCGGUGCUGUAUGUAGUCUGUAUUGUACUGGCUGGCAAGAAUUUGGUCACUCUAUAUGCACCGAUAACUCACCAGAAUGGAGAGGAUCGCUGGGGAUCAUCAUCUGGUUGAUUAAUGAAGCUUUAUAUUCAAAGUAACCAGAGAAAAACAUUUGCUUUCAGUCUCCAAUGACCGCGCAACACCAGCUAGAAGUUUACAUAGUUGUCAUAAGCUAGGCCGGCAAGUGGUACAUGCACGCCGCCGGUGACCGUGUCCAACCUCGUCUGUUUAAGGACCAUAGUGGUAGCAAAUGUGCAGCUGUUGUGUCCGGCUAUGGUUCUACAUAUUUAUGCUGCUUUUGUCAGAAUCAUUGGUCUUGGUUUUGCGGACAACACUUCUCUAAAUCUGUGAACGUCCAUUGCCUUUUCCCCGCACACAUAGAUGUUGAAUACUUCCCCCCUUACCUAAUCCCUCCUAACACACACCCACCCACAUCUCUCUAGUCCCCACCCCAGCCCUAGCUGAUGAGAGGAGGAGGGUCUGGUGUCAGCACUAGGGGAGAUCUUGUGGAGGGCAGGAGGAGGAAAGAGAGCUGUGGUUGGAUUGUUUAUGUCAUCAGUGUUUGUAUUAGAAAUUAUAUGGGUUCACCGAACUCAUCUCAGCAUUUACGACUGGUUGAUUAAUGAAGCUUUAUAUUCAAAGGCAGAGACGGGCCCCAGGAAAGCAAUACACACCCACGUACCAGCCUGAUUCCAUCGCUGAAAGGAUAGUGAACACUCGUUAGUGUUGAGCAAACACUUGAGUCGAUUCUACGAGAAAACUUCCGCUGAUAAUUGAGCAUACAUUCGAAAUACAAUGGACUCCUUUCUUCAGUCAAGGUUACCAUUUUGUCUGGAACAACAAGAGGAGAGGACUCAUUACAAGACCUUGCGACAAUACAAUAAUUAUAACUCAAGUACUUGUAUGAAAGAAUUAAGUUAACCUCCUAUUAGCCUCGAGACCAGGCCAAAUUAUUGCAAUUGAGACUUCGAGAUCACACGAAUACGUAUUUCCAUUAUCAUUUUCAUUUAUUUCCUCGAUGGGUGUCGCUCGCUCUCUGUUCUCCUGUCUUCUCCUCGUUAGCAACAGUAACAAUAAAGCCGCUGCUGUCAACAACUAGUACCAAGCCUGCUACGUUAUCCAUUCUCAGUCUUCAGUUGUUUACUUUACUAAGCACAACUGACAAGAUUGUGGCUGUAUUCCUAUUUUGAAUACCGUGUGGUCUUGGAAUUGAAUGAACAUGGAAUUAUAUACGCCUUCCUUUUCAUCGUUUUGAGAUUGCUUACUUUACUCGAAUAUAAUUAUUCUACCCCAACAUUAUUUUUCUCUUAAUUCCAUCCAGAUAAUUGAGCAUACAUUCGAAAUACAAUGGACUCCUUUCUUCAGUCAAGGUUACCAUUAUGAUUGAGCAUAUACAUUCACGAAUAGAAAUACAAUGGACUCCUUUCUUCGGUCAAGGUUACCAUUGUGGUCAAGGUUACCAUUAACGGAAAAUGCAACUUCAACGUUUUUUCAUCGUUUUGAGAUUUUUAUGUACCAAUAACAUCUGAUAGGUCACAGUGUGCACUCACCAAGUAAGAGAAUGCGACUACAAGGACUUGGGGUGCACUUACAAGAUGAUCGAGCUUUUAUUCACGGUACAAUAGACUCCUUUCUUCAGUCAAGGCUUGCGUUGGAAUGCGGAAUUGGGUGUGGCUACAUUCGGUUAUUACCUCAUUCUUGUGCAAACAUCUUAGCAGCCAUUGCAGCCAUUGCAGCCACACAUUUUUUGAAUGCCACGUACAUUGCCAAUUGAAAGAAUCACUUCCUGGUUCAGUUUUUGAGAAGGAACGCUCUCCUCAAUUGACACUUUGCAGUCACUCUGUUUGCUUCUCAUGAUCAGUAGCAAGUGCACAAUACCGUAUAAUCUGGUUAGUAAGUGCAUGCGCCUAUAUAGGGAAAGAGCAAGCCUCUUAAUCUAUGCGCUAUUAGUUGAUGUGCGCUUAUUAACCAGUAACAGGAACGCCUUAAGUUGUUGAAGUCCUUCUGUAAUUUUCUAUUCAUGGUGAAAUCUAUUGAAAUGUGCUUGUAUAGAAGAAUCGGCCAAAGAGUCAUUGGUAUUUGAGGAGACUACAAAGGAUAUUUGACAGCUAUAACUUCGAUAGUCUGGCUAACCACCAUACAACUGACUAUAUAUAGUGCAGAGGGGAGAGCUAGGGUCGUUGGUGGAGAUGCAUUGACCUCACCACUGGAGCUGUGCAUUCGGACUAAAAUAUUCAUCAUAGGAGAAGCCUAACCAAUGGAUGACUAAUCGAUGAAGGAGUUCAAUUAGAAGGAGGGAUUGGAAACUUUUGCACACAUUUAUAGAGUUCAAUACAGGGGUCCGACAGGCGCAAUGCAACUCAAGCAAUAACCCACGACGUGGGCGGAUAAUUAGUGGACGAGCUGCACCACGCCGGCCUGUUGUUCCUCAGAGUUCAAUGUAUAGCUUGCAAAAACAUCUGUAUUUCGGGCCUGGAAAUAGUGGGGAAAACCCGCGAAUGUAAAUAGACUAUGCCAGCAUCACAUACGUACAUGUAAGGCAGUGCAGGUGUGCUAAAACAAUUUUUUUUCUGUAGCUAAGAUUCAUGUACAAGAUUGGCACAAGGAAAGAAUAAUUAUUGUUACAGUCAAGUUAAAAAGAUUGUACCUGACUUUCGUGGACGGCCAGGUCAAUUGAUGGUGUUGGCGUGUUCGGAAGCAAAGGUAUAGAUCGGGGCCUCAGAUGCACCAUAGAUCGAUUGAGUAGUAAUCUAUGGAUGCACAUUAUGGUGGAUCUUAGGAGUGAAAAUUUUAGUCUACAGUGACCCAGUGGAGGGUGGAACUGUAUGAUCUUCCUUGCUUCUCAUAAUAGUGGAGAAGCGAUGAUUUUGACACAAACGGCACCCCAUAAAUUCCUCCAGCAGCUUCUUCUCAUUCGAUAGCAUUGGGUCUGGGUGGAGUUGCAAUAGCAUGUGGGUUGAACACCCUAACAUCAAUCAUAUAUACAUAGUACUCUACUAUCUAUGCAUCAAUGUACGACAAUGUCCAAACGAGCACCCUAGCUCUUCACGAUUUGGCUUUCACUCAUUUCUAGUUCUAGCAUAAGCCUUUUGAUUUUAAGCACCUUCCACAUCAUCAUAGCCUCGAGACCAGCCGUUCGUUAUACGAACGGCUGGUCUACCUCUUGGUCUACCUCAAGUUCAUGCAGGCAGGCAUGUUUUGCUGACUAGGCACAACUGUUGCAAUUUAUUACGUCACCGAAAUGUGACUUCAAAGAACAGUCUGUUUGCUUUGAUCAUAAUCUAUUUUAGCUACAAGUAUAAAAGUAGCUUGCUAGAUCAUGAGUCUAAAAUCUAUUAAGUUCAAUAUAGUGGUAGUCAAAGCCAAUGAAUACACUAGUGUGUGUAAGCUGUCAAGAGUAUGUGUUCCACGAUCCCUACCAAUGUGACUGUGGAGACAGACUGUGUAGCAAGUGCUACAACUCCUAUGUUGAGAGCGGCCAGAAAAAGUUCAUCUGUUCAUCCUGCAAUGAAGAGAACAUUGUGGCCAACUGUUUUCGAGACAAGGCAGUGGAAUACGAGCUUCGGAAUACCACCCUCAAGUGCCUGAACCAGUCCUGUCCCUGGGAGGGGGAGAGCAGGUUCUAUCAGGAGCAUAAGAAUUCGUGCAAGUUUGGAUCGGUACAAUGCCCCAACUCAAUAUACGGCUGUAAAGAAGAACUAAUUAGGAGUCAAUUACAGGACCACCUCAACAAUAAAUGCAAUUGCAACCCGAUCACUUGCCGAUGGUGUGGACAACGCACCCUCAAUGAAGACAUUCACGUUCAGAAGGAGUGUGAGAUGGCACUAGACUACUGCCCCAAUGGGUGUGGGGAGAGGUUACCUAGGAGAGAGAUGCUCAAGCAUACUAAAACAGUGUGCACUCACCAAGUAAGAGAAUGCGACUACAAAGACUUGGGGUGCACUUACAAGGGUACCAUCAAAGACCUAACAAAGCAUGCAAAGGAGUACCCCGCAUAUCACACCCAACUACUGAAAAUGGCCAAAAAAGAAAUGAAGCAAUCUCUUGAUCACCAAAUUGCCUUAAUAGACAACAAAACCGAUGAUCUGAAAUCUGAAAUUAUCAAAAUUCGAUCUGAGCUGCAGUCACGGCUACAACCAGUAACAGAUACUGUGGUAAAAGUUGAGUCAUCAAUUAUCCAACUACAAGAUGGACUCAGUGAGGUAUCUCUGCUAUUACAAACACUUCAAGCUGCCAGUUACGAUGGAACAUUCAUUUGGAAAAUCCCCGAAGUCACUAGGAGAAGACAAGAAGCUAGAAGUGGGAAAACCGUCUCUCUGUAUUCCGCUCCAUUCUAUACGAGUCGCCAUGGAUACAAGCUCUGUCUAAGACUAUAUAUGAACGGCGAUGGUUCUGGGAAGGGCACUCACUUGUCAUUCUUUAUCACCCUAAUGCGAGGGGAGUACGAUGCCCUCCUCCCCUGGCCAUUCAUACAUGCAGUCACUCUGACCCUGGUGGACCAGAACAAGCAGCGAGACAUUGUCCAGUCGUUCCGUCCUGAACCAACCUCCUCAUCAUUCCAGAGACCACGAAAUGAGAUGAACGUUGCCUCAGGCUGUCCCACAUUUGUCCUCGUCUCAGUCCUGGACAAUGUCUCCUAUGUCAAGGACGAUACCUUGUUCCUUAAAUGCAAGGUGUUAUUUUGGACCCUGGGGUCUGUCCACUGUGCAGCUAGCUAGCUACAGAGAAGAGAAGCAGAUAAACAAGGAGGAAAUUAUUUUGGGGGAAAGUGGAUGUCAAGCACUAUAAAACAGUGUGCACUCAUAAUCUCUGCACUCACCAAGUAAGAGAAUGCGACUACAAGGACUUGGUACUUAUAAGGAACACAAGAGCCAGUCAGCAGCAGCUAGAUAAGGGAAACCUUCUUCAUAGAUCCUGGUUUAUGGAGGCCCUUGUGGUGUGCUGGCAGCAGUGCAGACCUUUAUACUCAAGCAUCUUAUGUUCUCUGACUCUAGCAAGCCACUCAACGAGAGUCCCCGCCCCAGCCCUAGCUGAUGAGAGGAGAGAGGGUCUGGUGUCAGCACUAGGGGAGAUCUUGUGGAGGGCAGGGGGAGGAAAGAGAGCUGUGGUUGGAUUUGUUGAGUAAACACUUGAGUCGUUCCUACGAGAAAACUUUCGCUGCAAUCUGGAUUUUAAAAAGAAUGAAGAGUUGUUAAUGAUCGAGCUUUUAUUCACAGUACAAUGGACUCCUUUCUUCAGUCAAUGCUUGCGUUGAGACUAACAAAGGAAAUUUGACAGACCUACACUACUUCGAUGGUCUGGCUAACCAGGAUGAGACUAUACGACUGACUAUAGACAAUGCAGAGGGGAGAGGGUCGUUGGUGGAGGAUGCAGUGCACUCUUGUCAGUUUUGUUCUACUGUAGGUGGAGAAAUACUGCAUGUGAGCUGCAUGGAACGGAUCUGAACCAAUUGUUUGAUUGUAUGGCAACGGUGAACUGUAAUGAAAACUUAAUGGCGGUGGACGGAUCGAGGACACUUUCAUUAGAAGUAGUGGCUUUGGUUGCUUUGAUCAAAGUUAGAGGACGUAUUAGUGGUACUAAGGACGAUCCAGAUCAAUUCUUACAAAUUCUACAGCUCAGAACUGCAGAAGGCAUUUUUCAAGUGUUCUGGUCAUAAACCUUAAAUUCACUCACGAUUCAUGACAUUUCGAUCAUUACCUAUAAUUAUGGACAGAGGAGCAAUCAAGCAUUCACACCCCAUGGUCUCCACCGACUCAGUGGACCUGGCCCUGCCAAGUCGAGUUGACAAAAUGCUGUUGGGCGGGGCUAAAUGGGACCCGGAUGGAUGUCACAGGCAAUCAAAUUCCUGGCCUUGCUUUAUCUUAGUUGGGCAGAGCCCGACCGUCCCUGACGGGAGGUAGGGUUUCAAGCCUAUAUUAUCAGGAUAUGUCUUUGCUGCAACUAUAGUUGCAGCCCAAUCAGAUUGCAGCAUUUCUGCUGUGGUCUGUGUCACAUCCGUUGCGCAACCUCAAGCAAGGUCAAAUUGGUUAACACCCACUUCAGAAUAAUAAUAUUCAUAGAAUAAAAAUUAAUGAUUAUUCAUAGCUGCUUAUCAGCUGUUACAUAAUUAAGCAAGACAAAUCCUGACAUAAGCUUGAAACCCGGGGACGGUCGGGCUCCGCCCAACUAGCUUUAUCUGGCUAGUUCUACUACAGAGGAGGUCGGACAUCACUUGAACUUUCACUA
Halichondria panicea is the source of this 7394-nucleotide RNA transcript. It is a transcript of the gene named TNF receptor-associated factor 3-like, with no coding region annotated. The record is from RefSeq and is a predicted model, not a curated record. The transcript is spliced from 28 exons. NCBI's taxonomy places the organism in Eukaryota, Metazoa, Porifera, Demospongiae, Suberitida, Halichondriidae.